This 88-nucleotide ribosomal RNA is filed under the name Masdevallia exquisita. Its description in RNAcentral is "5.8S ribosomal RNA". It matches the Rfam family "5.8S ribosomal RNA", at positions 3 to 90 of the family's 154-position model. Rfam says of the family: 5.8S ribosomal RNA (5.8S rRNA) is a component of the large subunit of the eukaryotic ribosome. It is transcribed by RNA polymerase I as part of the 45S precursor that also contains 18S and 28S rRNA. Functionally, it is thought that 5.8S rRNA may be involved in ribosome translocation. The record is from RNAcentral. Lineage: Eukaryota; Viridiplantae; Streptophyta; Magnoliopsida; Asparagales; Orchidaceae.
CUCUCGGCAAUGGAUAUCUCGGCUCUCGCAUCGAUGAAGAGCGCAGCGAAAUGCGAUACGUGGUGCGAAUUGCAGAAUCCCGCGAACC